CAGUAGCCGCGGUAAUACGUAAGUGGCAAGCGUUGUCCGGAAUUAUUGGGCGUAAAGGGCUCGCAGGCGGUUUCUUAAGUCUGAUGUGAAAGCCCCCGGCUCAACCGGGGAGGGUCAUUGGAAACUGGGAAACUUGAGUGCAGAAGAGGAGAGUGGAAUUCCACGUGUAGCGGUGAAAUGCGUAGAGAUGUGGAGGAACACCAGUGGCGAAGGCGACUCUCUGGUCUGUAACUGACGCUGAGGAGCGAAAGCGUGGGGAGCGAACAGGAUUAGAUACCCCUGUAGUCCCUGUCUCUUAUAC
RNAcentral lists this ribosomal RNA (301 nucleotides) under uncultured bacterium. RNAcentral's name for it is "partial 16S ribosomal RNA". It matches the Rfam family "Bacterial small subunit ribosomal RNA", at positions 509 to 807 of the family's 1533-position model. The record is from RNAcentral.